GAUGAAGAACGCAGCGAAGUGCGAUAAGUAAUGUGAAUUGCAGAAUUCCGUGAAUCAUCGAAUCUUUGAACGCAAAUUGCACUCUCUGGCAACCCGGGGAGUAUGCCUGUUUGAGGGUCAGUGUUAAUAAAAAUCGGGUUCGUUGCAAUUUUUGUGACGUUUCCGGAGUUUGAGUUAUCUUAACUUCGGUUUUAAGAGGCUUAAAAUUGACCUUUUUUUGUGCAUUUUAGACGUACAUAAAUUUUUUUUAUUCGCCUAUCCUAAUGCCAAAAUCUAUUAGAUGUGACCAUAUCUUGUGGUUUCGUGUCUAUAAAUUUUUCAUGAUUUGACCUCAAAUCAGGUAGGAACACCCGCUGAACUUAAGCAUAUCAAUAAGCGGAGGA
RNAcentral lists this unclassified non-coding RNA (383 nucleotides) under soil metagenome. Its description in RNAcentral is "partial contains 5.8S ribosomal RNA, internal transcribed spacer 2, and large subunit ribosomal RNA". The stretch from base 1 to 120 matches the Rfam family "5.8S ribosomal RNA", at positions 35 to 154 of the family's 154-position model. The record is from RNAcentral.